UACGGCUACAUCACGUUGAAACCCCUGUUCCCGGACGAUCACCGAAGCUAAGCAACGCCGAUCCUGGUCGGUACUUAGAUGGGUAACCGUUUGGGGAUACCAAGUGCUGUAAG
Non-coding RNA from Acanthosepion pharaonis, 113 nucleotides. The record is from the annotation of a GenBank genome assembly. Lineage: Eukaryota; Metazoa; Mollusca; Cephalopoda; Sepiida; Sepiidae.